RNAcentral lists this ribosomal RNA (492 nucleotides) under uncultured bacterium. RNAcentral describes it as "partial 16S ribosomal RNA". It matches the Rfam family "Bacterial small subunit ribosomal RNA", at positions 29 to 507 of the family's 1533-position model. The record is from RNAcentral.
AGUGAACGCUGGCGGUAGGCCUAACACAUGCAAGUCGAACGGCAGCACAGUAAGAGCUUGCUCUUACGGGUGGCGAGUGGCGGACGAGUGAGGAAUACAUCGGAAUCUACUUUUUCGUGGGGGAUAACGUAGGGAAACUUACGCUAAUACCGCAUACGACCUACGGGUGAAAGCAGGGGAUCUUCGGACCUUGCGCGAUUGAAUGAGCCGAUGUCGGAUUGGCUAGUUGGCGGGGUAAAGGCCCACCAAGGCGACGAUCCGUAGCUGGUCUGAGAGGAUGAUCAGCCACACUGGAACUGAGACACGGUCCAGACUCCUACGGGAGGCAGCAGUGGGGAAUAUUGGACAAUGGGCGCAAGCCUGAUCCAGCCAUACCGCGUGGGUGAAGAAGGCCUUCGGGUUGUAAAGCCCUUUUGUUGGGAAAGAAAAGCAGCAGGUUAAUACCCCGCUGUUCUGACGGUACCCAAAGAAUAAGCACCGGCUAACUUCGUG